GACGAACGCUGGCGGCGUGCUUAACACAUGCAAGUCGAGCGGUAAGGCCUUUCGGGGUACACGAGCGGCGAACGGGUGAGUAACACGUGGGUGAUCUGUCCUGCACUUCGGGAUAAGCCUGGGAAACUGGGUCUAAUACCGGAUAUGACCUCCUAUCGCAUGGUGGGUGGUGGAAAGAUUUAUCGGUGCAGGAUGGGCCCGCGGCCUAUCAGCUUGUUGGUGGGGUAAUGGCCUACCAAGGCGACGACGGGUAGCCGACCCGAGAGGGUGACCGGCCACACUGGGACUGAGACACGGCCCAGACUCCUACGGGAGGCAGCAGUGGGGAAUAUUGCACAAUGGGCGAAAGCCUGAUGCAGCGACGCCGCGUGAGGGAUGACGGCCUUCGGGUUGUAAACCUCUUUCAGCAGGGACGAAGCGCAAGUGACGGUACCUGCAGAAGAAGCACCGGCUAACUACGUG
RNAcentral lists this ribosomal RNA (462 nucleotides) under uncultured bacterium. RNAcentral's name for it is "partial 16S ribosomal RNA". It matches the Rfam family "Bacterial small subunit ribosomal RNA", at positions 28 to 507 of the family's 1533-position model. The record is from RNAcentral.